This 1512-nucleotide ribosomal RNA is filed under the name Xylaria sp. genotype 325. Its description in RNAcentral is "eukaryotic LSU rRNA". The stretch from base 927 to 1512 matches the Rfam family "Eukaryotic large subunit ribosomal RNA", at positions 1 to 597 of the family's 3401-position model. Lineage: Eukaryota; Fungi; Ascomycota; Sordariomycetes; Xylariales; Xylariaceae. The record is from RNAcentral.
GGAUCAUUAAAGAGUUUAACAAAACUCCUAAACCCCUGUGAACUUACUAGGUUGGAUUCUCGCCAGAGAUAGUCUGGUUUCUGCUUCGCGGAUCGCCUGCCCGUGACACCCUGUCACAGGCAGGUACGCUUCUGCCGCGGGGCCGCAGGUAAAUCGUCUGGUUUCUGCAAACGGAUCGCCUGUCCGUGACACCCUGUCACAGGCAGGUAUGCUUCUGUAGCGGGGCCGCAGGCAAAUCGUCUGUUCCACAAGGCCAGCCUAGUGGAUGGCGAUUUACCUGUGGAAGAGAUCCUCUAACUAUAUUCUUAUUAUAAAAUCUGUGAACUUACAUGGUUUGACGCGGCAGAUAGCGCAUACCUCGCGAGACCCCACUCUGGGGAACUCGCAGAGUAGGCGCAGGUCUGUCUUUCCAUAUUCGUAAGGCUCUCUCUCUAUUUUAUUAGAGAGCAGCCUACGCAGUGGACACAGUUAGUUACCUUAUACGUCGCGAGAUCGCAAGCGUUAUUGUGUAAAUACUGUGGAGGUCACCUAACCUUGUCUAUUUAGGUUUGGUUUAUCUGUUUGUUCACCAGAUCAAACACUCUGAAUAAAAUCUUAAACUAGUUAAAACUUUCAACAACGGAUCUCUUGGUUCUGGCAUCGAUGAAGAACGCAGCGAAAUGCGAUAAGUAAUGUGAAUUGCAGAAUUCAGUGAAUCAUCGAAUCUUUGAACGCACAUUGCGCCCAUUAGUAUUCUAGUGGGCAUGCCUGUUCGAGCGUCAUUUCAACCCUUAAGCCCCUGUUGCUUAGCGUUGGGAGCCUACGGCCUGCUGUAGCUCCUUAAAGGUAGUGGCGGAGUCGGUUCACACUCUAGACGUAGUAAAAUCUUUAUCUCGCCUAUAGAUGAGCCGGCGCCUUGCCGUAAAACCCCUAAUCUUUCACAAGGUUGACCUCGGAUCAGGUAGGAAUACCCGCUGAACUUAAGCAUAUCAAUAAGCGGAGGAAAAGAAACCAACAGGGAUUGCCCUAGUAACGGCGAGUGAAGCGGCAACAGCUCAAAUUUGAAAUCUGGCCUUCGGGUCCGAGUUGUAAUUUGUAGAGGAUGCUUUGGGCGCGGUGCCUUCCGAGUUCCCUGGAACGGGACGCCUUAGAGGGUGAGAGCCCCGUACGGUUGGACACCAAGCCUCUGUAAAGCUCCUUCGACGAGUCGAGUAGUUUGGGAAUGCUGCUCUAAAUGGGAGGUAAAUUUCUUCUAAAGCUAAAUAUUGGCCAGAGACCGAUAGCGCACAAGUAGAGUGAUCGAAAGAUGAAAAGCACUUUGAAAAGAGGGUUAAAUAGCACGUGAAAUUGUUGAAAGGGAAGCGUUUGCGACCAGACCUUUUCCCAGCGGAUCAUCCGGUGUUCUCACCGGUGCACUUCGCUGGGUUGAGGCCAGCAUCGGUUUUCGCAGGGGGAUAAAAGCCUGGGGAACGUAGCUCCCUCGGGAGUGUUAUAGCCCCUCGCAUAAUACCCUUGCGGGGACCGAGGACCGCG